RNAcentral lists this ribosomal RNA (490 nucleotides) under uncultured bacterium. Its description in RNAcentral is "partial 16S ribosomal RNA". It matches the Rfam family "Bacterial small subunit ribosomal RNA", at positions 28 to 507 of the family's 1533-position model. The record is from RNAcentral.
GAUGAACGCUAGCUACAGGCUUAACACAUGCAAGUCGCGGGGCAGCAUGGGGGUUGCUUGCAAUCCCCGAUGGCGACCGGCGCACGGGUGAGUAACGCGUAUCCAACCUGCCCUUCACCACGGGAUAACCCGGCGAAAGUCGGACUAAUACCGUAUGUUGUCCAUUGACGGCAUCCGAUUUGGACGAAAGGUUUGGCGGUGAAGGAUGGGGAUGCGUCCGAUUAGCUGGACGGCGGGGUGACGGCCCACCGUGGCGACGAUCGGUAGGGGUUCUGAGAGGAAGGUCCCCCACACUGGAACUGAGACACGGUCCAGACUCCUACGGGAGGCAGCAGUGAGGAAUAUUGGUCAGUGGGCGUAAGCCUGAACCAGCCAAGUAGCGUGCAGGAGGACGGCCCUAUGGGUUGUAAACUGCUUUUAUGCGGGGAUAAAGUGGCCCACGUGUGGGUUUUUGCAGGUACCGCAUGAAUAAGGACCGGCUAAUUCCGUG